Molecule: ribosomal RNA, 113 nt
Filed under: uncultured bacterium
Lineage: Bacteria
Description: partial 16S ribosomal RNA
Rfam family: Bacterial small subunit ribosomal RNA
Source: RNAcentral
UAGGGAAUAUUGCGCAAUGGGCGAAAGCCUGACGCAGCGACGCCGCGUGAGUGAUGAAGGCCUUAGGGUCGUAAAGCCUUCUGUUGUACGGGAAGAAAAAAAUGACCGGUAGC